GACGAACGCUGGCGGCGCGCUUAACACAUGCAAGUCGAGCGAUGAAAUCUUAACAGAACCCUUCGGGGUGAAGAUAAGACGGAUUAGCGGCGGACGGGUGAGUAACACGUGAGUAACCUGCCUUUUACACAGGGAUAGCCUCAGGAAACCGGGAUUAAAACCUGAUGAAACUAUCAAAUCACAUGAUUAAGAAAGUUAAAACUCCGGUGGUAAAAGAUGGGCUCGCGUCCCAUUAGCUAGUUGGUGAAGGUAACGGCCCACCAAGGCAACGAUGGGUAGCCGGCCUGAGAGGGUGAACGGCCACAGUGGAACUGAGAAACGGUCCAAACUCCUACGGGAGGCAGCAGUGGGGAAUAUUGCACAAUGGGGGAAACCCUGAUGCAGCGACGCCGCGUGAGCGAAGAAGGCCUUCGGGUCGUAAAGCUCUUUUAUAUGGGAAGAUAAUGACGGUACCAUAAGAAAAAGCCCCGGCUAACUACGUG
Molecule: ribosomal RNA, 482 nt
Filed under: uncultured bacterium
Lineage: Bacteria
Description: partial 16S ribosomal RNA
Rfam family: Bacterial small subunit ribosomal RNA
Source: RNAcentral